CCCUUAGAUGUUCUGGGCCGCACGCGCGCUACACUGAUGCAUUCAACGAGUCUAAAACCUGCUCUGAUAGGGGUGGGUAAUCUUUUGAAUGUGCAUCGUGAUUGGGAUAGAUGAUUGCAAUUUUUCAUCUUCAACGAGGAAUGCCUAGUAAACGCAAGUCAACAGCUUGCGUUGAUUACGUCCCUGCCCUUUGUACACACCGCCCGUCGCUACUACUGAUUGGAUGUUUAAGCGAGGUUCUCGAACUGCUAGUGACUGAUCUUCGGUGAGGUCGCAGUGUGGGAAGUGAUCCUAGCUUUGGUGUCUAGAGGAAGUAAAAGUCGUAACA
Molecule: ribosomal RNA, 328 nt
Filed under: uncultured eukaryote
Lineage: Eukaryota
Description: partial 18S ribosomal RNA
Rfam family: Eukaryotic small subunit ribosomal RNA
Source: RNAcentral